CGCUGGCGGCGUGCUUAACACAUGCAAGUGGAGCGACGAACCGGGGCUUGCCCCGGGGCAGAGCCGCGAACGGGUGAGUAACACGUGGGUAACCUGCCUCAAUGAUUGGGACAACCCGGGGAAACUCGGGCUAAUACAAAAUGUGUUCACUCCUUCUAAGGGGAGUGAGGAAGGAAGCUUCGGCCUCCGCAUUGAGAUGGGCCCGCGGCCCAUUAGCUUGUUGGUGAGGUAACGGCUCACCAAGGCUUCGAUGGGUAGCUGGUCUGAGAGGACGAUCAGCCACACUGGGACUGAGACACGGCCCAGACUCCUACGGGAGGCAGCAGUGGGGAAUCUUGCACAAUGCGCGAAAGCGUGAUGCAGCAACGCCGCGUGGGGGAAGACGGCCUUCGGGUUGUAAACCCCUUUCAGUUGGGACGAAGCUUCGUCGGUGAAUAGCCGGUUGGAGUGACGGUACCUUCAGAAGAAGCCCCGGCUAACUACGUG
RNAcentral lists this ribosomal RNA (486 nucleotides) under uncultured bacterium. RNAcentral describes it as "bacterial SSU rRNA". It matches the Rfam family "Bacterial small subunit ribosomal RNA", at positions 34 to 507 of the family's 1533-position model. The record is from RNAcentral.